RNAcentral lists this long non-coding RNA (203 nucleotides) under Olea europaea (common olive). Its description in RNAcentral is "long non-coding RNA (OEUR_LNC006719)". The record is from RNAcentral. Lineage: Eukaryota; Viridiplantae; Streptophyta; Magnoliopsida; Lamiales; Oleaceae.
CAACAUCUUUGAAGCAAUGAGGUAUCCUAGUGAUGUUCACGCUUAUUUUUCAAUUGAUAUAAUAGAUUCAUUAGUACAAAAGUUUUUGAAUUAUCAAAUGAAUAUGCAUUGGAUACCACUUUGAUUAAAAGCAUUGAUGCUAACAAUCUCACCGGGUUGAGCAAGAAUUUACAAGUGUGCAAGGAUGUUGUUGAAACCGUGGC